GUCAUCUUAUCGGUGAGAUCAUUGUAGAGAUGCAUGAGUGGUCCAGAUGUCAGGAGCAAGAGGCUGCUGGGUGACUGCUGGGCUGGAUUGACACAUCUUAAGAGAAGAUAAGAAAGCAGAGAGAAUCAGAAUGAUCCAACGGAAAUCCUUUGUUGCAUAUUCCUGUAAAGUUCAUCUCCUUCGCCUCAUUUAUCACACUGGCAUCUGUCUUACCAAGGACAUUUCAUCCCUGUCGCUCUGUCAUGCUGCAUGUGUGUAUUUGCACCCAUCUGACCGGCUCUGGCAGGAACGACAGAGCCUUUCUCACUCGUCUGAAAUGACAUGACUAUCCCUUGAGGUGUGAUGGCCAGCGUCCUUGUAAGCAAAAAUAAAGGGUUUACACAGUGAUACCGCAGAAGGACAAGCUUGGAACCCCCAAAGAAAUGUUCGCAUUUAAAAGAACCAUUCUUUCUCC
This is a long non-coding RNA of Carassius auratus (goldfish), 454 nucleotides long. RefSeq lists it as uncharacterized. The record is from RefSeq and is a predicted model, not a curated record. Lineage: Eukaryota; Metazoa; Chordata; Actinopteri; Cypriniformes; Cyprinidae. The transcript is spliced from 2 exons.